Long non-coding RNA from Pimephales promelas (fathead minnow), 2312 nucleotides. RefSeq lists it as uncharacterized. NCBI's taxonomy places the organism in Eukaryota, Metazoa, Chordata, Actinopteri, Cypriniformes, Leuciscidae. The record is from RefSeq and is a predicted model, not a curated record.
GGUGUGGUUUAUUAUCAGUCACCCCUGUGGUGGCAGGAAUCUGCUCGAGACCAUGGAGAUGGGCUCUUGAGUUUUAAAUAUCCACCCACGGUCUUCAUCUCAGAUAUAGCUGGACGUGUUGCCAGACAUUUAAAUAAUAGGACUCAUCAAAAGUUCUUUCAGCCACAUGAUGGCAGGCUAUGUGCUCCAACAUCUGAAAACAUUUCUGCUGCAUUGGAAAAAAAACUCACUGUGCAGAAAGAAUGGGUGAAUACCCUUCGAAGCUCAAUGGGGCCAAAUAAACAUGAAGACCAAACAAGUGACAGAUUCACCUGCCCUCACCCUCUGACUGGAACUCAUGAACGGUACUCCCUUUAUGACCGUUUUCAUGAGAAAAACCAAAAAAGGCCUGAAGAGAGACUGAGAAGCAUCAAACUUUUGCCAGAUCUUGCCAGUAUUUUUAAUUCAUCUUCAGCAGAGCAAAUUAACAAAGAGCUGUCAACCAGCAGGUAUUUCCUCUGCCAACUGAAGGACAUUCAUUACAUGUUCGCCUUGCGGCUGUGUUUCCAUCUGCACAAUCAGAGGAUCAAUGAUAACUUUUUGCAGGACAUUCAAAAAUGUCUCAAAAAGAUGUGCACCUAGGGCUACAUGGACACCUAUUAAUAGGUGUGGAUGAGGAAACAGACAAAGAGAUGUACCAAAGAACAUCUGCAAAGUCAUUAACCGACCCACAAGCUGAACCAGAUAAAGUUGAGGAAGAUAUGGAGAGUUUCACUGUGUCAUUGUUUCCGAUAAGUGAACAAAAUAAGGACAAGCUGAAACAACUUUACAUUUCCUGGAGGAGAAAGAGACAAAUAAUUCACAGAUUUUCAGCAUACGCAACACUGUAUAUUGCAGACUUGAGAAGUGUUUGCCCCUCUUCUCUUUUAGAGGAAGACCCAAAUAAGAACAUGCCUUGGUUAAGUGAUAAUGCAGUGAACUGUUGUCUUGCUCAAAUUGCAGCAGAAACUCCGCAUGUUGUUGCCUUAUACACAGAUGUGUACAUUUUGUGGUACAGAGAGUGGACAAAAAACAAAGCCAUUUCAAGGUCACAUGUGCAAGAUCUUGAGAAUGCUCAAAAAAUCCUGCUCCCAAGAAUCGUUGGUGGUAAAACACCAGAACGGGGAAACCACUUUAUACUCUGGGUUUUCGAUGUCUCUGGAAAACAAGUGCGUAUUUAUGAUUCAAUGCGAUCUACAAUUCUAUUGAAAAAAAUGACAUGGAUAUUCUGAGAGAGGCUUUCCAAAAACUUGGGUCACUGGAUGGCUGGACUGUUUGCAACCCAGAACAGUGGAUGCAGCGAGAUGGUGUGAACUGCGGGGUAUUUGUUUGCAUUGCAGCUGAAAUGGAAGCCAAAAAAAUGAAGUGCUGCAAACUUGUCAGCUAGUACACCUGCAUGUUUGCCAUGCCACAAGCAUGUUGAAAGAUGUGAUGACUGAAGACUUUCCGACUGCAAUUGGAGAAAGAGAGGAAGGUGAAAUAGAGACCAACACCUGCAUGGCCCAGGACAUAAAAGCAUGUGUUUAUCAAAACACUGGAAAUAAAACCCUGCAUCCACACAUCAAACGGAUGAAGUGGGUUUAGUGUGAUCUGUGCAACAAAUGGUUACACACUGAUUGUGCUGGCAUAGACCCUACAACAAUUCGCAAAGACACGCCCUUCAGCUGUGGAUGUGAUCAACAACCAUAUUCUUUUCAAAGCACCCUCACAGCUUUGAAACAGGGACUUUUGGUUGACACACUUGUGGAGGAUGAAGAAAUUGUGAAACUUCAUCAUGACCUCACAUCUGGUGCUGUUAGAUCACACAGAAUGUUUUUACAUAAACAUCCCAGUUAUGCCCCCAAACUGAAAACCCAAUGUAACCUACGGAUCUCUGUUUUUGACCAAGAACAGACAGAGGGAAUCAUUGACAAGGUGUACAGUGUUUUGGCAUUGAAAAAAACAGAUUUAUCUAGCCCUUCAUAUGAAAUGGAAGUCAUGACACCUGAGAUAACCAUUCUGAUUCUCAGAAAGACAGAGGGGUUCCACAGAUUCCAAGCGGAAAUGGCUUUUGCAACUGCACACUGUCUGUGUGUUGAAUAAUAUGCGACAAGCAAUGGCCUUUAUAGAUUCUUUUUUGUAUUAUUAUUUCUAAAUAGUUUUUUUUCCCUUUGUUUUUAUUUGUAAAUAGAUUUUUUUCUUGGGUUUUAUUUGUAAAUUGUCUUUGUAAAUUUGAAAAUAUAAUGAUACAAUGUGUGCUAAGUGAUUUUACCAUUAAAGUUGGCAUUCUUUUAUUGAAUUAUUAAAAAGCUUUG